CAAGCAAUGGUUACCCCUUCACGGUAACUCCAAAACCUAACGAUCACCCCACACGAUGAUCUUGCUAUUGCUGAAUUUAAAUGGAUUAAGCCAAUUUACCAAAGCGAACCUAUCUGAGUCCGUAAAGUGGAGAAAAACGAACUUGCUGUUAAAUUUCAGUCGGUGUCGCAUCAGGGGCAAAAUCGUCCAACUUUUUCUGUGUAACCUGAAACACAAAACAAAGUAUAUCAGCGCGUUCAGGAGAUCGAAACAAGCAAGUUACCUGAAGACAGCGUCGCCGAACAGCCGCCCACGCGCUGCCGCCGUUGUCCACAUGCCACCUCUCCGGGAGCACCUCGACCUGCUAGUGAUGGGUAUGGCCUUCGUUUGUCCAACCGAGCUUUGGUUUGUGAGUAAUUGAUAAUUUUCAGAUUAGGGUUCUAAGUUUAAUGUCCGAAAAUCAGCCGAUUUUGAGCUUUUUGUGCUACCCAAGCUCUGAUACCAGAUGUUAGGAUCUUCCUCAAGCUGCUCAAAGUGAUUUUCGGGCUCAGUUAACCAUUAAACAUCGAAUUCAACACCAAAAUCGAGAUGACCGAUCGCCAGCGCCAAUUUCUUCCUAUGGUUGCUAUUGCUCUUUUGCUUUUUGAUUCUACCACACACUUAGGAUGGAUACCACACAGGUAAGAGUCACAAAGCCUCAAGCAAUUGGUAGGGAAGAUUAAUUGACAGGAUGUAUGAAGGAGAAGAAGAAGAAGAAUGCCUCUCUCUCUCGGGUUCUCUCAUGCACGGCACAAAGGAGAAGGAGAGAAUUACCAAUAUAUAUAUAUUAGUCCAAAGACCACUUAAGGUAAGUUAUAAUACGGUAAGUAGGUUCAACUAGGGUUAAGUCCCAGUAGCAAAACAACAAGCCACAAAGAUUAUUAGCCAUCCAAUAGGUAAAGCAACGCUAGGUCAGUUCAUCCAUUAUUCAGUGUUGAUUUAUUGUUCAGUCAUUCAUGUCGACUAAUAAAAUUGGUUUUCAUCAUCGUCCGGGAGGUCGUUUGACAACAUGAUGUCUAACAUGGAGAAUGACAAUUCUCAGUUGGGUACAUCAGAUAACCUUAAUAACCCCCUAUUCCUGCUUCUUUCAUUAUCUUCUUGUUGUGAGUCUGUUAUACUGGUCCUUAACUUGUAAAUAUUAGAAGAUAACAUUAUUGUUUCAAAAAGAUUAUAGAUUACAUGGGUGUUUCUUUUUCUCUUUCUCUCUCUCUUUUUCUUUUUUCAGUAAAGUCGUGCUGUGGUGAAUAUUUUGUUGCUUGUAUUGCAGCCAUUGAAGAUGAUGCAAGAGUUUUUGAGAUUGAGACAAGAGAAUGAAGUCAACUUAAAAUGCUUACUCUUUUAUUUUUAUAUGUAUAAGCAUCAUUCAUCUUGUGUGCAAAUUUAUUUUUGAAGAUUAUUAUUCAUUGUAAUUUUAUGCGGUUGCAAUCCUGAGAUGAGAAAAUAAAUUAAUAUAUAUUUUUUGAAUUAAUGUUGAAUCAUAUUGUUUCUUAUCUUUUUAUGUGUUCGGAAUGUCGAACAGGAAAUGAAAUGUACAUUGUUUUUCUCUCUAAAAUUCAAAUUAACUUGCUUAUCUCCCUUUUAUAAGUGUGCAUUUGAUGUGCAAACUUCUAUAAUUCCUCUCCGUCGGAUUUCGUAGCUUUACAUCUAGUGGUUUCUCUUCCUUGAUAUUUGGUUAACAAUUGACUAUUUUUUUUUAUUGGUUUACAAAUUAAGAUUGCUUGUAAACUUACUAGAGGAUCUAUUUAAUUGAUGAAGUGAAUAUUAUUUAAUGAUUUUGUUAACUUAGAAUUCCUUGUAAAGUUCAAUCUUUUGGAAGACCAUUUCACCAUAUAGUGGGGUUUUAGGUUCACCUUUUGAUGCAGGAGGUUCCGAACUAAGUGAGGUCGAAAUAUUAGAUGGCACGUUGAUGGCAUUGAGAUAUUAUGAGAUGGCAGAUCGACGCAAAGAUAGAAAGUGAUUGCAUACUUUUUUUAAUUGGGGCAAUUUUGACACGUUUUGGUAAUUUUGCAAUAACUUUGGCUACAGUUAUCAAUUAUGACCCCUAUCCGAAAAACUCUUUUCGGCGCGAUGUGAUCAUGGUCAUCGUGGAUAGGUUCCAAUUGAGGAAGUCCCACACCGUGAUCGUAAUGUUCAGGAUGUGACGAGUGAAGAUUUGCAGAGACAAGUUACGGAGCUAACCCAACAUCGACGGAACAGGAGAUCCGUAAUCAUGAAGUGAAGGGUCAUGAUUCCAAUUCUAGUUUAGAAAAUCCAUAUCAUAAUUGUGCUCGAGUCUUGGAGGAUCGCCAUGGAGACCUUGGUUUCAACAUGGAUCUCCCUGAGUUUUCUAGUACAUUACAAGUCGAAGGUUUUAUUGAUUGGUUGAAUGAAGUGGAGUGAAUUUUUGAGUAUAAGGAGAUCCCAGAUCAUGUCAAAGUUAAAUUGGUCUCCAUCAAACUCAAUGGUAGAACUUCGGCAUAGUGGAAACAAUUGAGGCAUUCACAAGAGCAGAAGGGCAAGUCCAAUAUCACUGAUUGGGAAAAGAUGAAGAAAAAGAUGAAAGGUCAUUUUCUUCCUUUCAGCUACACUCGAACCUUGUUUCAACGUCUCCAUUCACUGAGAUAAGGCACAAGAUCGGUUAAUAAAUAUAUGGAAGAGUUCUAUCAGUUGGUAGUCUGGAAUAACAGAUGGUGGCAUGGUAUUUUAGAGGACUAAACCAGCCCUUGCAUGAUGUUCUCACCCUUUAUUCAUUGUCGACAACUUUUGAAGCAUACUAGAUGUACUUGCCAUGGAGAAGCAGCAAAAUAGGAGGCCAGUGGUCAAAGGUGAAAAUAGUCAGCCAAUUGGUCCUCAAGAACCCCUUCCUGCAUAUUAGCCUCCGUGGAACAAUUCUAGCUAAUAUGUCAAGUGUUUUAGAUGUGGUGAUCAAGGACAUAGGGCGACUGAUUGCAGGAAGUUGACUAGUCAGAAGAAUAAAAAUCUCUUGAUUGAGGAGGAUUUAGUAAGGAAAUUUUAGGAGGUUGGACAACAUGUAUAUGAUGAUGGUGAAGAUGAAGACAUGCUGUAUGGAGAUGGCCNUUUUCUGUUCAAAGACACCUUGGCAAUUUAUCUUUAAGUCCAUAAUAUAUCAUUUUUCUCCGCAUAAGAUUCUGAUGUAAUCAGAUACCCAAGUCAUUAUGGACCAAUUUAUUUUAUUUAAAUUUUACUUGAGUGAGCAAAAUAUUAUUCUGCCUCUCAACCAUACCGAUUGACAAAACAUUCCUUCCUAUCUCUUUUAAGUGUGUUAGGUAUAAUUUUUGGGAAAAGGAAAUGCAGCUGGGAUAAUGUUUUUGUUAUUCCAGAAUUUAGGAAGAAGUUAUGCUUUUCAAAUCUAAAAUGUAGACUUAACUGAUGCUGACAGAGUAUAAUAUAAAGGUGAACCCAAGUAAAAGUCCAAACCAAGCCCUGAUAUCAUGCAAGAUGAUGGGAUGGAAAUGGUCUUUCAAGAAUAUACACAAUACCAACCUGUUAACGAAUAGGGAUGAAUUUUUAAUCACAGUAAAACCAGGCACAGUUAGGUACCGUGAAACAAAGUGCUAAACAAUAAGCACGCAUUGAUUACCUUACUGAAGAAUUUUGAAAUGGACCUUCAAGUCAGGAAAACAAAUUGCCUCAUUUAGAAGUUAAUGUGCAGCUAGGAAAUUCUCCUGGACUCUUUUCUGAUGCACUUAAGAUGAUAUGAGCACGAAAUGCUAGGCCAGGUGCUAAAAAAUUGAUUGAGUGGAAACUUGCAGAAGAAAAUCUUCGCUGUUGGAUAUUUCUUUGAGAGCUCUAGCAGAGAACGCCUUGGGAAUCGUAUCACUUGAUCUGGUGCGAGAUAUGCUUAAGAAACAAUUGACUGAUUUGUUGUGUUAUAUCCGGAAAAUGGAUGUGCAUAUCUUGGACCUCUUAGUAAACAGAUGCCAUAAUAUGGCAAGAUAGGUAGUAAGUUAAUUUGAUUUGAAAAAAGCUUGGUGUUUGAGGCAUCAAUUUAUUAAGAUUUGACAUACAGACCAAAGGAUUCUUAUCGGUUUGACAUAAAUUUUAACCCUAAAGAACUUCCAUUGGGUUUAUAUAAACUUAAUAAACAAGAAUUUAUUUUUGAAGAUUAUUAUUCAUUAUAAUUUUAUGCUGUUGCAAUUCUGAAAUGAAAAAAUAAAUUAAUAUAUUUUUUUUAAUUACUAUUGAAUCAUAUUAUUUCUUUUUAUCUUUUUAUGCAAUUGGAAUGCCGAAAUGGAAAAUAAAUGUACAUUGUUCGAAUUUGUGCUCCAAAAGUUCUCUCUAAAAUUCAAAUUAAGUGUGCAUUGAAUGUGCAGAUUUCUAUAAUUAUAUUCCAUCAGAUUUCGUAGUUUUACAUCUACUGGUUUUUCUUCCCUGAUAUUUAUUUGGUUCACAGCUGACUAUUUUUUUUUUUUUAAUUGAUUUACAUAUUACAAUUACUUGUAAACUUAUUAGAGGAUCUAUUUAAUGGAUGAAGUUAAUAUUAUUUAAUGAUCUCAUUAACUUAGAAUUCCUUGUAAAGUUCAAUCUUUUUGAAGACCAAUUCGCAAUAUAGUUGGGUUUUAGGUUGACAUGCAUAUCUUUAUCAUUUCUAAAAUUAUGAACCUCCCGUAUGCAUAGAUAUGAAUUCACAAUGUCCAUGAUUUAAUGAAAAUUAUGACCCCCCCCCCCCCCAUGUGUACACAGUUAAGAGUGCUCUGUUCCAAAUUAUUUCUCUUACAGUAUUACAGUAAAUCGUUCGAAUUAGAGCUGAAUCAGAUUAUUCAUUUUAAUUUUAUGCCGUUGCAAUUUCAAAUGGGAAUAAUCUGAUAAACAUUGUUUAAAUUAGUGCUGACUCAUAUAUAUUAUUUCAUUUAUUCUUUCAUGCCAUUGGAAUGCCAAAACAGAAAAUAAAUAAAUGUUUGAACUUUAAAAUAGUGUUGAAUUAUAUUAUUUUGUUUAUUCUUUUUUACGUCAUUGGAAUACUGAAAGGAGAAAAAUUAAUGUAAAUUUUACAAUUUAGUGUUCUUGAUGAUUGAUGAUUUACAUUGCAUGUUGACUACUCAACAUUGGGUUUCGAAUAUUAAUGUUCAUCAUCAAAAUACUAGUGACAAAUACAAAGUAAAAUCAUUGGAAAGAAUUCAAAGUAAGUUUUUUGUGCAUCUCUUCUAUAUAUAUCUGUCUCAAUAAAAAACUCAGCAUCUAAGCAAUUCUUUUUUCUUUUUUCCUUUUUUUUUCUCUCUUUUUGCAAGGUCUGUGUGGAAUUCAAUGUUUUAUGAUUGAAAAGAGCUAUGGUGUUAAUUAAAAAAAUUAAUGUACAAAUUGUUAUGAUACCACCUCGUCAAGUUUCAUUGUUUUACAUUACUUGGAUAUUUCUCCCUUGAUAUUUUUAAAAAGCAAGCAUCUAUUUUUAUUGAUUCACAAAUGGCUAUAGUAUUUGGAAUGUUAAGGACAUGCAAGUCAAAUUGAAACCCAAAUGAAUGCAGAAUAUAUUUUUUAAAAGAUUGCAUUUUUGAAAUAUAUUUCCGUAGACAUUGAUAUUACUAGAACGAUUGAGUUUUAUUAGUGUAUAUGUUUAUUCACACUUUUGAUCAAUGCGUGCUUGCAUGAGCAGUUUUCCUAUGGCCUUUUGAUUUGAAAAUUUUCUUACAUGGUUGAUUAUUUAAAUGUAUCAUUAUUGGGAGCUGACAUAAAGGUAAACAAAAGGGGACCUUUAUUUCUUUAUCUUUUUCUUUAAUGGAAGAACCUUACUACAAGUACAACAAUUUUGACAUUAUGGUUAACAGUCCUCUCACAUACAAGAGGUGAGGCCCGCAAUUAAAAUAAUCACGGAUCCUAUGAUUGUGAGAGUACUGUAUGUGUACAACACUCUACACAGCAUUUUCAUUAAUGGAAUGUUGCUUCAUUCUUCUGCCUUUAUCGUCAAAUAGUUAAUUGAUUUUCCUGUAUUCACGUUAAAAAUUCACCUGGAACAGUUGUCAGCUUGACUGAAAUUCAAGUCAAGAUUAAAUAAUUGCUGUGUGCAUACGUGUGUGUGUGUGUGUAUAUAUAUACUUCUUUUUUUUUUUUUUUUUUUUUGGGGAACGAAAUGUAUAAGUAAUCAUUUCUAUCCUAGUCCAAAAAAUCAUGUUGCUAUUGUUGCAACUCAAUUAUAGAGUUUUUGUAUGGAUAGUCCUAUAAAUUUAUAAAUUUGCUUUUGAUACAAUACAUAUAUAGAAACACAAGCUCAAGCAUAUGUAUAUACAAGGUUAAUUGCUUUUAACAUUUCAAAAUUGUGUCACUGUGCUUAUGAUGUGAAUCACAUUGGACAAUAUGAGACUGAGGCAAUAAAAGUAGAAUUUCAAUAGUGGUAGACUCAACCAUGGAGUGCUUUCUAUCUGGAUUUAAUGGCAGAUGGCUACGUCCUACUGAAGGUGAAGAGUGUGAUCCUCCAAACUAAAGAAUGAAGAGAAUGACAAUUCUCUGUUGGGCAACAUCAUACAACCUUCACAACCUCCUGUUCUCUGACUAUUGAAUCCAGAGCUUCUUCCUAUAUAUCCAUCAAUAGUUGCUGAUCCAAGGCCUUGACCUUCAAAACUUUCUCAAAAUGGGUUGCCCAGUUCCGUCCCCUUUCAUGAUCAUCAUGUUAUAAGUCUGCUAAACUGGUCCUUAACUUGUAAAUAUUAGACUUUUGAAAUAUUUAAGAUUACACGUGUAAGUUGUGUUGUGGGCGAAUAUGAUGCUAAAUUAGUUUGCUUGUAUUGCAGCCAUUGAAGAUGAUGUAAGAGGUAUUGGGAUUGGCACAAGGAACUGAAUUCAAUUUGAAAUGCUACCUCUUUUAUUUUUAUAUGUAUAAACAUCACUCAUCUGAAAUUCACUCAUUCGAAGGAAGCACAAUAAAUAAUCUUUAAUUACAAUAUUCCAGUGGUAGGGACAAUAGAUCAGUUGAUAAAAUUUAGAUUGCAUAAUAAUAUAAGAUAAGUCAUAAAUAAAGUACGUUGGAGAACUUCCUAUACUCUCAACUACGAGCAUCAUGAUAAAUGUUGCAAUCUUCCCAACUUCGUAGAGUUAAUUGCUGCAAUUUACGACGUCUAAGAUGGCGUACAAAUUAAUCAUCAUCAGCUGUUUGACGUGAAGUCAUUGUAUUAUCAUUAGCAAACAAGUCCUAGAAAAGGGAAUGCAUUUUCCAUCACUAUUUGUGAUUGAAUCUUGAUUCUUCUAAUUGUUGUGUGUGAUAUUGGGGUGGCACACAAUGUGACAAGUAAAUGUGAUUGGUGAAUGAAUGAAACAUAACCCUCAUCAGUGUACAAAAUAUCAAAGGAGAAAAAAUCUGGAGAAGUAAAAUUAUAAAACCUCUCUAGUUGUAUUAUAACAAUUCGUGUAUCAAAUGCACGUCUGUGUAAAAAUGAGAUAAACAUGUUAAUUCCAAUUUGUAGAGAACCUUCGGAACUAUAUCGGAAGCAUUUGCAAUCAAUCUGAAUUUUCCAUCGACUUUAAAGUUUUCCAAUUGCGUCUCCCGAGGAAUGUUGCAGCCAAAUUCAAUUUCUAUAACAAGCGUUGGUGCUUUUAGAUGCUAUCAUCUAUUCUAAGUUUGUCUGAACAAACUGCUAUGUUCACUUGUCUCUGCAGAUAUUGCUUUGCUAAGUUUCGUUUGAAAAUAAUUUCUUAAUGGGAGAUCAAAUCAUUCAAUUUUAUUAAGUUUCAUGAAUUAGUGCUUUGAUGUGCUGAAAAUUUUGCAGAUCUCUCAGUUUACUUCUUCCAAAGCAGGAAAAAUUGUUACUGAUCUCUCAGUUUACUACUUCCAAAGGGUCUUCACGAUGACUGCAUGGGGCCAAGAGCUGUGAUAGAGGUAAACACCAUGAAACUUCAUUUCCUAAUUUGCUUGAUCUUUUCCUUUUAAUGAGAGUCAUAUCAUUCUGCCACCUUUAUCUUCAAAUAAUUAAUUAAUUUUCUUGUACCCAGGUUAAAUAUCUAACUGUACUGCUGUCAGUUUGAUUAAAAUGCAAGGUUCUGUCAAGACUAAAUAAUCGUUGUUUGCGUGUGUGUAUUUUCUUUUCUUUAUUCUCUUGGGAUAAGUGUGUAAGCUAAUCAUUUUUAUCUUAGUCGAAAAAAUUAUGAAAAUCACAUAAAAUUAUAGAGUUUUAGUAUGGAAAGUCGCAUAAAUUCACUAGCUCAAACAACAGUAUAGACAAUGUUAAUUGCUUUUAACAUUUCAAAACUGUGUCACUAUGUUUAUAACCUGAAGCAGAUUGGGCAAUACGAGUCUGUAGCAGUAAAAAAUAGCGUUUCAAUGGUUGUAGACCUAACAACAGAGUGCUUUCUGUUUGUGUUUAUUGGUAGAUUGCUGCAUCCUACCGGAGGUAGAGUGUGAUCCUCCACUCAAGAAUAAACUGGAGAAUGACAAUUCUCAGUUGGGUACAUCAGAUAACCUUAAUAACCCCUAGUUCCUGCUUCUUUCAUUAUCUUCUUGUUGUGAGUCUGUUAUACUGGUCCUUAACUUGUAAAUAUUAGAAGAUAACAUUAUUGUUUCAAAAGGAUUAUAGAUUACAUGGGAGUCUCUCUCUCUCUCUCUCUCUCUCUCUCUCUCUCUCUCUCUCUUUCAGUAAAGUCGUGCAGUGGUGAAUAAUUUUUUUGCUUGUAUUGCAGCCACUGAAGAUGAUGGAAGAGUUUUUGAGAUUGAGACGAGAAUGAAGUCAAUUUAAAAUGCUUACUCUUUUAUUUUUAUAUGUAUAAACAUCAUUCAUUUUGUGUGCAAAUUUAUUUUUGAAGAUUAUUAUUCAUUGUAAUUUUAUGCGGUUGCAAUCCUGAGAUGAAAAAAUAAAUUAAUAUAUAUUUUUUGAAUUAAUGUUGAAUCAUAUUGUUUCUUAUCUUUUUAUGUGAUCAGAAUGUCGAAAAGGAAAUGAAAUGUACAUUGUUUUUCUCUCUAAAAUUCAAAUUAACUUGCUUAUCUCCCUAUUAUAAGUGUGCAUUUAAUGUGCAAACUUCUAUAAUUCCUCUCCGUCGGAUUUCGUAGUUUUACAUCUAGUGGUUUCUCUUCCUUGAUAUUUGGUUCACAAUUGAAUAUUUUUUUUUAUUGAUUUACAAAUUACGAUUGCUUGUAAACUUACUAGAGGAUCUAUUUAAUUGAUGAAGUUAAUAUUAUUUAAUGAUUUCGUUAACUUAGAAUUCCUUGUAAAGUUCAAUCUUUUGGAAGACCAUUUCACCAUAUAGUGGGGGUUUUAGGUUCACCUUUUGAUGCAGGAGAUUCCGAACCAAGUGAGGGCGAAAUAUUAGAUGGCACGUUGAUGGCAUUGAGAUAUUAUGAGAUGACAGAUCGACGCAAAGAUAGAAAGUGAUUGCAUACUUACCUUAAUUGGGGCAAUUUUGACACGUUUUGGUAAUUUUGCAAUAACUUGGCUACAGUUAUCCAUUAUGACCCCUAUCCGGAAAGCUCUUUUCAGCGCGAUGUGGUCAUGGUCAUCAUGGAUAGGUUCCGAUUAAGGAAGUCCCACACCGUGAUCGUAAUGUUCAGGAUGUGACGAUUGAAGAUUUGCAGAGACAAGUUGCGGAGCUAACCUAAUAUCGGCGGCACAGGAGAUCGGUAAUCAUGAAGUGAAGGGUCAUGAUUCCAAUUCUAGUUUAGAAAAUCCAUAUCAUAAUUGUGCUCGAGUCUGGGAGGAUCGCCAUGGAGACCUCGGUUUCAAAGUGGAUCUCCCUGAGUUUUCUAGUACGUUACAGGUCGAAGGUUUUAUUGAAGUGGAGCGAAUUUUUGAGUAUAAGGAGAUCCCAGAUCAUGUCAAAGUUAAAUUGGUCUCCAUCAAACUCAAUGGUAGAACUUCUGCAUAGUGGAAACAAUUGAGGCAUUCACGAGAGCAGAAGGGCAAGUCCAAUAUCACUGAUUGGGAAAAGAUGAAGAAAAAGAUGAAAGGUCAUUUUCUUCCUUUCAGCUACACUCGAACCUUGUUUCAACGUCUCCAUUCGCUGAGAUAAGGCACAAGAUCGGUUAAUGAAUAUACGGAAGAGUUCUAUCAGUUGGUAGCUUGGAAUGAUUUAUCUAAGAUGCAAUAACAGAUGGUGGCAUGGUAUUUUGGACGACUAUCUCAGCCUUUAUUCAUUGUGGACAGCUUCUGAAGCAUACUAGAUGCACUUGCUUUGGAAAAGCAGCAAAAUAGGAGGCCAAUGGUCAAAGGUGAAAAUAGUCAGCCAGUUGGCCCUCAAGAACCCCUUCCUGCAUAUUAGCCACCGUGGAACAAUUCUAGCUAAUGUGUCAAGUGUUUCAGAUGUGGUGAUCAAGGACAUAGGGCGAUUGAUUACAGAAAGUCGGCUAGUCAGAAGAAUAAAAAUCUCUUGAUUGAGGAGGAUUUAGUAAGGAAAUUUUAGGAGGUUGGACAACAUGUAUAUGAUGAUGGUGAAGAUGAAGACAUGCUGUAUGGAGAUGGCCUGAGACUCUAGUCAUGCGUAAGAGUCUACUAACUCCCAAGGGAGAUUUAGGAGAUGUUUAGUUGAGGACAAAUGUUUUCCACACGACCAGUACAGUUGUCGAUAAAGUUUGCAAGUUGAUCAAUUACAGUGGCAAUUGUGAGAAUAUAGUAUUUGAAGAGGCUGUCCAGAAAUUGUACCUAAAGAUAGAUCGUCACCCAAGCUGUACAAGUUAUCAUAGUUGAAUAAAGGCAGUGAGGUAACAGUAGAAAAAUAGCGUCUGGUGUCUUUUUCAAUCGGCAUGAAAUUUUUUGAUAAUGCUUGGUGUGAUGUUGUGUCUAUGGAUGCCUGUCAUGUAUUGUUGGAAUAAACUUGGUAGUAUGAUCGCAUGUUAUUCAUGAUGGACGAAAGAAUAAAUAUUCCCUUAGCAUUAAAGGGAAGAAGAUUGUGUUGGCACCUCGUAGGGAAGAAACUAUCCAUGCCCCAAUAGUUAAUAAUACCAACUUCUUUUCCAUGUCUAGGUUUCUAUUUGAGAUUGGGCGUGAAGAUGUAGCCUAUGCUUUACUACCUUGUGAGAAUAGUGCAGUGAAUGGGGAUUUAGACUUACCAGCAAAAGUGCAGCAGCUACUAACGGAGUUCUUUGACCUGAUGCUAGAAGAUCUUCCUCCGAGGUUACCAUAUGAGGGAUAUUCAACAUCAUAUCAACCUUAUUUUGAGGUCGAGUUUGCCUAAUCGACUAGCAUAUUGCCUCAACCCCAAGAAAGCUGAAGAGUUACAUCGACAGGUGGUGGAAUUGUUAGAGAGGGGCUACAUUCGUGACAAUAUGAGUCCACGUAUUGUUCUUGCUCUACUAGUACUGAAGAAAGAUGGAUCUUGGAGAAUGUGUAGACAACAGAGCAAUCAACAAUAUUAUAGUGAAGUACAAGUUUCCAAUUCCCUUCCUAGAUGAUAUGUUGGAUUAGUUGUCCUGUUCUAAGGUCUUCUCAAAAAUUGACCUUAAAAGCUAAUAUCACCAAAUCAGAGUAAGGCUUGGAGAUGAAUGGAAGACGACGUUCAAGGCGCAGCAUACAUUGUACGAGUGGAUGGUCAUGCCGUUUGGACUAUCCAAUGCACCAAGCACUUUUAUGAUGUUUAUGCAUCAGAUGUUAUGGCCUUUCAUGGGGAAGUUUGUAGUAGUAUACAUAAAGGAAGGUACAUUCUCAAUGGCUUUCAGAGGUUACUGAUGAUUGAGGCAGGUUGAACAAAAAACACAAGACGAAUACAAGAACAAAGUGCUCUUGGCGAUCCAUAGAAAAUAGACAAUUCCUAAAGAUUGGGAACACGUGUGAGUGAAGCACGUUCUAACAGGGCUUGGAGAUUGCAGGAAUUAGGUCAACGAGUCUAGUGGAUUUUCUAGGCUGGAUAGCACUGUAAUUUCUUAUUGUAGUGGAGGUCAUUAGCUUAGUCUCGAAGUUUUUAAUCCUGCAAGGGGUUUUCUUCAUCAAGAAUUCUCCUGUAUUAUUUAUUUUCCUACAAAUUUAUUAAACUAUGAUAAUUCAACAUAGGAUAGUGUACAUGUGAAUUCAUGAAGAUUAAUUAAUAAGUGAAUUGUUGCUGUUAAUUAAUAAUUUUAAUUCCUUUGUUUUCACCUGUUCACCCGAUAUUAUGGUUAAACUAGUAAUUUUCUUUUAGUUUGCAAGUGAUGCUAGAAAAAUUGUAAACACAUAACAAAUGAAAAACUGAAGUUUGGGUCACUAUUAGUGAAACGAAAUGAGUUUAUUUGAGGAGUGUUUCCUAGACACACCUUUUAAAGACCUUUACAAUAAAUCUUUCUUUGUGAUCAAAUUGUAGGAUGUUCUAGAUGUCUUGCAAAGCAAUUCACUCUUUGAAGAAAGUAAGGUUGCAAUAUGUACCUUAUUUCGUUUAUUGUUUUAUCUGUUGGAGUUGGGGUCUAGAUAUUUUUUACAUGCAAUUACUCUAAACUAGAAGUAGAAAGAUAGGGAUAUUUGGUGUAGAGCACCCAGAUACUUUCCAUGCACAUCUUUUGUGCAAACAGAGCCGGUCCUGUGAUUUAUGAGCCCUGAGGCGAAGUGUGUAAAGUAGGCCCCCCAACGAAAGCAAUUUAAAUACAAA
This 12483-nucleotide long non-coding RNA is filed under the name Olea europaea subsp. europaea. The record is from RNAcentral. Lineage: Eukaryota; Viridiplantae; Streptophyta; Magnoliopsida; Lamiales; Oleaceae.